RNAcentral lists this ribosomal RNA (235 nucleotides) under uncultured bacterium. Its description in RNAcentral is "partial 16S ribosomal RNA". It matches the Rfam family "Bacterial small subunit ribosomal RNA", at positions 99 to 334 of the family's 1533-position model. The record is from RNAcentral.
CGCACGGGUGAGUAACACGUAUCCAACCUGCCGUCUACUCUUGGACAGCCUUCUGAAAGGAAGAUUAAUACAAGAUGGCAUCAUGAGUCCGCAUGUUCACAUGAUUAAAGGUAUUCCGGUAGACGAUAGGGAUGCGUUCCAUUAGAUAGUAGGCGGGGUAACGGCCCACCUAGUCUUCGAUGGAUAGGGGUUCUGAGAGGAAGGUCCCCCACAUUGGAACUGAGACACGGUCCAA